GUUUACUUUGUGUACCGCGGAUUCGUUUGUAAAGAAGCCAAAAGUCGAUGCUGGAUUUGCAGAGAGACUGUGAUUAAAAGCACCACUAAUAACGUUAUUGGAUCUGACAAAAAUGACACAGCAGUAUACACACAGUAGAUGACAUCACAUUUAUAAUUGGUGAUGUCAUAGAGAACGCUGCUCUCAUAAAGCGCUGUUUGCAGUGUGUUUGGUUAUUCUAUAGUGAGACUCAGAACAGUAAAGGUUGACAACACUCGGGAAGACACCGCAAAGGAGAUAUGCUAUACCUGUUCAGGAAAAGCUGCCUGCAAGGGAAAACAUAAACAGAUCAAUCACCCACCAAGAUCUGCAUUAUCAGGGAGCCGAGUGACGUGGCUGAGACGUUAAGCGGCGAAGGAUCCGAAAACUCCCCGCGGGACUCCUCGCCCCCUGACAGGACCCAGCGAUGACACUGAGAGCGUUACGGCCCGCCGGAGCCGAGUGACGUGGCUGAGACGUUAAGCGGCGAAGGAUCCGAAAACUCCCCGCGGGACUCCUCGCCCCCUGACAGGACCCAGCGAUGACACUGAGAGCGUUACGGCCCGCCGUGAGUAGUUCCACUUUUCAUGCAUCGGCGUACAAGAGAUGGGCAUAAAUUCAUGGAAAUGUUAUUGCCUGUUAUUAAAUGUGCUGUUUCUGCAAGUCAAGCGCAAAGAUGAUUAUUUUCAGAAUGUGCCCGGUUUACACCGUUGUGCCAUGUCCGCCCUCAGGUUUAGGUCGCUCCAAGGUGCUGCCAUUAGGUUCGCUUGUUUCCUAGCUCGGGAUGCAGCGCCCUGGGCGGGACUAGCGGCUUGGCUGCCCCGGCUUCGUGCCGCCCGCUUGACGCGCACCCUGCGUGCGCAGACAGCUGUGGCCUGUACCGCACAUGGAUUGCGGUGCAGGGCGGGCGCGGGUCGCGGUUCACCCCAGGGUCUCAUUUAAGAGUUAGAGCAGGGCCUGAACUGUAAGGUGGCGGGAGGGAAACAGGAAGGGCCCUGCUUUUGAAACACAGAUGCAUCUUAGAUCCUAGAUAAUUUACUCACCCACAUGUAUGUAUCAUUCCACAUACAACGUCAGAACGGUCCUCUUUUCCACACUUGUAAACACUGGAGCAUUAGUUUUGCAUACGUCAUGCUUGACCUUUCGAUGUCAUACGUUGGAUCGCGCUGGCGCGUCACACGAUUAUUUUACAUUUUGUCGUUCAUUUUUCCGAUUUGUGAUUGUUUAAAGCCCUUUGAAGCUGCAUUGAAACUGCAAUUUUAAACUGCAUUGAAACUGUAAACUGUUGAGGUCCAACAGGGCUCUACACUAACUUUUUGCACUGGUUGCACUGGUGCGCCUAAGAAAAAGUUAGGUGCACCCAAAUUUUUGACCGCAUCGCAUUUAUAGUUCACCCAAAAAUGAAAAUUCUGUCAUAAUUUACUCACUCUCAUGUUGUUACAAACCUUUAUAAAUUUCUUCGUUCUGGUGAACA
This is a non-coding RNA of Misgurnus anguillicaudatus (oriental weatherfish), 1492 nucleotides long. NCBI's taxonomy places the organism in Eukaryota, Metazoa, Chordata, Actinopteri, Cypriniformes, Cobitidae. The record is from RefSeq and is a predicted model, not a curated record.